This is a long non-coding RNA of Caretta caretta (loggerhead turtle), 1315 nucleotides long. RefSeq lists it as uncharacterized. The record is from RefSeq and is a predicted model, not a curated record. NCBI's taxonomy places the organism in Eukaryota, Metazoa, Chordata, Testudines, Cheloniidae.
GAAGCACAUUGAGGUGAAGGUUGCACGGGUGUGAGUUGCAGAAACAGAAAUAUAAUCCAAUACUUCUGACUCCUCCUGCCACGGGCUAAGCACGUGCUCCAUCCCUGUGGCACUCUUUUAGAAGACAAGAUCAGAAGAUGUUUCACGGAAAAAUUCCCCCAAAAAUCAUGAGAACAAACUAAGAAAAAUUCGAGAAUGAGCCUUUCUAAGAGUUACUCUCAGAUAUUCCUACUGGGUUUUAUAUGGUGCACGGCUUCCACUGAGGUACCUAUGGCAAGAUACCCCAGAACCACAUAUUUCCCCAUAACCAUAACGCCCUGGGUAAUUUCAUAGUCCCCCAUAACUGUAACCUCCCCCAUAACCACUCAAUCCCCCAUAACAGUAAUGGCCCCCAUAACCACCUAAUCCCCCGUAACCAUACAAUCCUCUGUAACGGUCUCCAGAGCCGUACAAUCCCCACAAACCGAAUGAGCCGUCAUAACCCGCUCCGACCACAGGUGCUCCUACGGCUCCCACUUCACUCUGCUGAAGGAAAUUGCUAAGAAUUGGUCCUGGGAUGGUUUCGACAAUCGGUGAUGGUCUGUCGAAGAGAGAGAGGAGGAAUGGAUUUAGUCCCUAUGUUCAUGGCUAUGUAUUUCUUCCUAUUUCCUCUUUCUAUGCCUCUUACCCAUUGUUAGGAUAUAGAUAUUCAGGCCUGUCGGUAAAGGCUUGUACUCGAAGAAUUUAGGUGUAUUCUUAUCACUUGGCUAGUUAUAGAGAUAACUAUAUAGAGAUAUAAAAGAAAGAAUCAAAAUCACUGUCUGCCGGUCUAAGGUCCUUCUCUCACUGUGACAGUCUGAGGCCCUGUUCUUAGGCUAAGGCCUUUGGCUAAGCAGCAGAGGCAGCCAUAAGCUGGGAAGCGACCGGUCACCUCCUCACAUUCCAACCUAGUCACAUUGAAAUAAGGUGCUAUUGGGCUGUUAGGAAUACAAUCCUGUCCUGAUAGUGCCUGUCGCCUCCAGAGAAAGGGAAGUGCCUAGAAAAUGUAAAAGGAAACUUAGUUUGAUAGCAUCCUGUCUGGCAAGAACUCACUUAUCGAUAGCUGGGAUGUGAAAUCCUCACUUCUGUACUGUUUUGUCAUUAUAGUUCCCACUUUGCUAUUGUUUGUCUGUAUAAUCUCUGUCUGGUUCUGUGAUUGUUCCUGUCUGCUGUAUAAUUAAUUUUGCUGGGUGUAAACUACUUAAGGUGGUGGGAUAUAAUUGGUUACAUAGUCAUGUUACAAUACGUUAGGACUGGUUAGUUAAAUUUCAGGAAAAUGAUUGGUUAAUGUAUAGCU